UACUAACCACUUCACUUCUGGAGGUGGGGACAUCCAGACAAGGAUCUCAGCCAACGAAGUGAACAGAGACAUGGGAACACAUCUGACAACACUGCAAUACAAGAUCAGAACAGCUGAAAUCUAGAUGAACAUCGUACUAGUUCAACACAGAUGAGCAAGAUGUUCCAAAACAAGUAACAGAACCUUGACCUCACAUGCCCCACUCACAACCAAGGGCCCAGUACCACAAAUUCACAGUGGCAUUUGAGAUUGCGAAAAGGCUGGACAGAUGUCUUUGGUUUAGAAAAUGACCAGCUUUAGCAUGAUGAGUGGCCAUUUAUUCUCCAGUGAGUGGGCCAG
Hemicordylus capensis (graceful crag lizard) is the source of this 339-nucleotide long non-coding RNA. RefSeq lists it as uncharacterized. NCBI's taxonomy places the organism in Eukaryota, Metazoa, Chordata, Lepidosauria, Squamata, Cordylidae. The record is from RefSeq and is a predicted model, not a curated record. The transcript is spliced from 3 exons.